CCAAGCAACGAACAUUUUACUUAAGCAAAAUUAAAUAUUCUGGAUUCGUUGCAUCUGUAUUCGCUAAGGGAGAGUGUAUACACAUAAACCAAACUAUCCAGAAUUUUAUAUAUAUGUCUACAUAAUUUUACCAUCUCACACAAUAUCUCUCCACUAUGUAAUGUAGGUAUCCUGUAAACAGGAAUCGUGCAAAAAGUAAAUAAAAAAAAAAUGUAACUCCAUGGGAAAAUAGUAAAACAAAUAUCGUCUUUUCUUGGGAGUGUAGGUAGAUAUUUAAAGUGUUUUUGUUCCACAAAAUAAAAAAAAAAAAAACACACCAACACUAAAAACACGUAUCGAU
This is a long non-coding RNA of Episyrphus balteatus (marmalade hoverfly), 340 nucleotides long. RefSeq lists it as uncharacterized. Lineage: Eukaryota; Metazoa; Arthropoda; Insecta; Diptera; Syrphidae. The transcript is spliced from 2 exons. The record is from RefSeq and is a predicted model, not a curated record.